Molecule: signal recognition particle RNA, 98 nt
Filed under: Gammaproteobacteria bacterium
Lineage: Bacteria; Pseudomonadati; Pseudomonadota; Gammaproteobacteria
Description: signal recognition particle sRNA small type
Rfam family: Bacterial small signal recognition particle RNA
About the family: The signal recognition particle (SRP) is a universally conserved ribonucleoprotein involved in the co-translational targeting of proteins to membranes. Archaeal SRP consists of a 7S RNA and homologues of the eukaryotic SRP19 and SRP54 proteins.
Source: RNAcentral
UGUCGGUCCCUCCGCAACGGAACAUUGUGAACCCGGUCAGACCCGGAAGGGAGCAGCCGCAGCAGUGGAUCCCGUGUGCCGGAGUGUGGCUGGCAGGG